CCCAGACUCCUACGGGAGGCAGCAGUGGGGGAUAUUGCACAAUGGGGGGAACCCUGAUGCAGCGACGCCGCGUGGGUGAAGGAGCGUUUCGGCGCGUAAAGCCCUCUCGGCAGGGAAGAAGGAGGACGGUACCUGACUAAGAAGCCCCGGCUAACUACGUGCCAGCAGCCGCGGUAAUACGUAGGGGGCAAGCGUUAUCCGGAUUUACUGGGUGUAAAGGGGGCGCAGACGGCAGCGCAAGCCAGGAGUGAAAGCCCGGGGCCCAACCCCGGGACUGCUCUUGGAACUGCGCGGCUGGAGUGCAGGAGGGGCAGGCGGAAUUCCUGGUGUAGCGGUGAAAUGCGUAGAUAUCAGGAGGAACACCGGUGGCGAAGGCGGCCUGCUGGACUGCGACUGACGUUGAGGCCCGAAAGCGUGGGGAGCAAACAGGAUUAGAUACCCUAGUA
This 446-nucleotide ribosomal RNA is filed under the name uncultured bacterium. RNAcentral's name for it is "partial 16S ribosomal RNA". It matches the Rfam family "Bacterial small subunit ribosomal RNA", at positions 330 to 792 of the family's 1533-position model. The record is from RNAcentral.